GAUGAACGCUGGCGGCGUGCCUAAUACAUGCAAGCCGAGCGAACGGACGAGAAGCUUGCUUCUCUGAUGUUAGCGGCGGACGGGAGAGUAACACGUGGAUAACCUACCUAUAAGACUGGGAUAACUUCGGGAAACCGGAGCUAAUACCGGAUAAGAUUUUGAACCGCAUGGUUCAAAAGUGAAAGACGGUCUUGCUGUCACUUAUAGAUGGAUCCGCGCUGCAUUAGCUAGUUGGUAAGGUAACGGCUUAUCAAGGCAACGAGGCAUAGCCGACCUCAGGGAGUGGUCGGCCACCUUAGAGCUGGACCGCGGUCCAUGCUCCUACGAGACGCAGCAGUCGGGAAUCUGCGGCAGUGGGGGGAAGCCUGACAGAGCAGCGCCGCGCGAGAGACAGCGGCGUUCGGAGCGUGAAGCUGUGUUACUGGUGAAAAACAGCUGUGUAAGGAACUGUACACAGCUUGACGGUACCUAGUCAGAAAGCCACGGCUAACUACGUG
RNAcentral lists this ribosomal RNA (497 nucleotides) under uncultured bacterium. RNAcentral's name for it is "partial 16S ribosomal RNA". It matches the Rfam family "Bacterial small subunit ribosomal RNA", at positions 28 to 507 of the family's 1533-position model. The record is from RNAcentral.